AUAGAACAUUAUGCCUGGAAUGGUUUAUGUUCCAAAUGAUUGAUCGCCGUAGGAUGGGACUGCGGCCUAUCAGUUUGUUGGUGAGGUAAUGGCCCACCAAGACUAUUACAGGUACGGGCUCUGAGAGGAGUAGCCCGGAGAUGGGUACUGAGACACGGACCCAGGCCCUAUGGGGCGCAGCAGGCGAGAAAACUUUGCAAUGUGCGAAAGCACGACAAGGUUAAUCCGAGUGGUUUCUGCUAAAGGAACCUUUUGUCAGUCCUAGAAACACUGAUGAAUAAGGGGUGGGCAAGUUCUGGUGUCAGCCGCCGCGGUAAAACCAGCACCUCAAGUGGUCAGGAUGAUUAUUGGGCCUAAAGCAUCCGUAGCCGGCUCUGUAAGUUUUCGGUUAAAUCUGUACGCUCAACGUACAGGCUGCCGGGAAUACUGCAAAGCUAGGGAGUGGGAGAGGUAGACGGUACUCGGUAGGAAGGGGUAAAAUCCUUUGAUCUAUUGAUGACCACCUGUGGCGAAGGCGGUCUACCAGAACACGUCCGACGGUGAGGGAUGAAAGCUGGGGGAGCAAACCGGAUUAGAUACCCGGGUAGUCCCAGCUGUAAACCAUGCAAACUCAGUGAUGCAUUGGCUUGUGGCCAAUGCAGUGCUGCAGGGAAGCCGUUAAGUUUGCCGCCUGGGAAGUACGUACGCAAGUAUGAAACUCAAAUGAUUGACGG
This 713-nucleotide ribosomal RNA is filed under the name uncultured crenarchaeote. RNAcentral describes it as "bacterial SSU rRNA". It matches the Rfam family "Archaeal small subunit ribosomal RNA", at positions 156 to 871 of the family's 1478-position model. The record is from RNAcentral. Lineage: Archaea; Thermoproteati; Thermoproteota.